RNAcentral lists this ribosomal RNA (305 nucleotides) under uncultured bacterium. Its description in RNAcentral is "bacterial SSU rRNA". It matches the Rfam family "Bacterial small subunit ribosomal RNA", at positions 334 to 655 of the family's 1533-position model. The record is from RNAcentral.
CUGGCCUACGGGACGCAGCAGUGGGGAAUAUUGCACAAUGGGGGAAACCCUGAUGCAGCGACGCCGCGUGAGUGAAGAAGUAUCUCGGUACGUAAAGCCCUAUCAGCAGGGAAGAACAAUGACGGUACCUGACUAAGAAGCACCGGCUAAAUACGUGCCAGCAGCCGCGGUAAUACGUAUGGUGCAAGCGUUAUCCGGAUUUACUGGGUGUAAAGGGAGCGCAGGCGGCGCGUUAAGCCUGGUGUGAAAGCCCGCGGCCCAGCCGCGGGACUGCAUUGGGAACUGGCGCGCUGGAGUGCCGGAGG